CCUACGGGUGGCAGCAGUAGGGAAUAUUGCUCAAUGGGGGAAACCCUGAAGCAGCAACGCCGCGUGGAGGAUGAAGGUUUUCGGAUUGUAAACUCCUUUUGUUAGAGAAGAUAAUGACGGUAUCUAACGAAUAAGCACCGGCUAACUCCGUGCCAGCAGCCGCGGUAAUACGGAGGGUGCAAGCGUUACUCGGAAGCACGGGGCGUAAAGGGCGCGUAGGCGGGAUAGCAAGUCAGAUGUGAAAUCCUAUGGCUUAACCAUAGAACUGCAUUUGAAACUGUUAUUCUAGAGUAUGGGAGAGGUAGGUGGAAUUCUUGGUGUAGGGGUAAAAUCCGUAGAGAUCAAGAGGAAUACUCAUUGCGAAGGCGACCUGCUAGAACAUAACUGACGCUGAUGCGCGAAAGCGUGGGGAGCAAACAGGAUUAGAUACCCGAGUAGUC
RNAcentral lists this ribosomal RNA (440 nucleotides) under uncultured bacterium. Its description in RNAcentral is "partial 16S ribosomal RNA". It matches the Rfam family "Bacterial small subunit ribosomal RNA", at positions 338 to 795 of the family's 1533-position model. The record is from RNAcentral.